GAAUUCGCCCUUAGAGUUUGAUCCUGGCUCAGGAUAAACGCUGGCGGCGCACAUAAGACAUGCAAGUCGAACGAACUUAAUUGAGAGCUUGCUCUCAAAGCGGUUAGUGGCGGACUGGUGAGUAACACGUAAGCAACCUGCCUAUUAGAGGGGAAUAACAGCGAGAAAUCGUUGCUAAUACCGCAUAUGCUGCGAGUAUCGCAUGAUACAAGCAGGAAAGGAGCAAUCCGCUAAUAGAUGGGCUUGCGUCUGAUUAGUUAGUUGGUGGGGUAACGGCCUACCAAGACGAUGAUCAGUAGCCGGACUGAGAGGUUGAACGGCCACAUUGGGACUGAGAUACGGCCCAGACUCCUACGGGAGGCAGCAGUCGGGAAUAUUGCGCAAUGGAGGAAACUCUGACGCAGUGACGCCGCGUGCAGGAAGAAGGUUUUCGGAUUGUAAACUGCUUUUAACAGGAAAGAAAAAAAUGACGGUACCUGUUGAAUAAGCUCCGGCUAACUACGUGCCAGCAGCCGCGGUAAUACGUAGGGAGCGAGCGUUAUCCGGAUUUAUUGGGUGUAAAGGGUGCGUAGACGGAAAUGCAAGUUAGUUGUGAAAUACCUCGGCUUAACUGAGGAACUGCAACUAAAACUAUAUUUCUUGAGUAUCGGAGGGGUUUGUGGAAUUCCUAGUGUAGCGGUGAAAUGCGUAGAUAUUAGGAAGAACACCGGUGGCGAAGGCGACAAACUGGACGAUAACUGACGUUGAGGCACGAAAGUGUGGGGAGCAAACAGGAUUAGAUACCCUGGUAGUCCACACCGUAAA
This 804-nucleotide ribosomal RNA is filed under the name uncultured bacterium. RNAcentral describes it as "bacterial SSU rRNA". It matches the Rfam family "Bacterial small subunit ribosomal RNA", at positions 1 to 806 of the family's 1533-position model. The record is from RNAcentral.